This 510-nucleotide ribosomal RNA is filed under the name Hecataeus sp. BMNH#704468. Its description in RNAcentral is "partial 16S ribosomal RNA". It matches the Rfam family "Bacterial large subunit ribosomal RNA", at positions 1825 to 2600 of the family's 2925-position model. The record is from RNAcentral. Lineage: Eukaryota; Metazoa; Arthropoda; Insecta; Coleoptera; Chrysomelidae.
GUCCUUUAGUUAUAAAUUUAAGGUCUAACCUGCCCAAUGAUAAAUUUAAUGGCCGCAGUAUUUUGACUGUGCUAAGGUAGCAUAAUCAUUAGUUUUUUAAUUGAAAGCUGGAAUGAAGGGUUGGAUGAAAAAAAGACUGUCUCUAUUUAAAUAUUAUAGAAUUUUAUUUUUAAGUUAAAAAGCUUAAAUAAUAUUAAAAGACGAGAAGACCCUAUAGAGUUUUAUAUUUUUAUUUAUUUUUUUAUUUAGAAUUUAAUUAAAAAUUUAUAAUUGAAUAUUUAAUUGGGGUGAUUGAAAAAUUUAUUAAACUUUUUUUAUAUUUGUAUAUUGAUAUAUAAAUUGUUGAUCCAAUGUUUUUGAUUAAAAGAAAAAAUUACCUUAGGGAUAACAGCGUAAUUUUAUUGGAGAGUUCAAAUUGAUAAUAAAGAUUGCGACCUCGAUGUUGGAUUAAAAUUAAUAAUUGGUGCAGAAGCUAUAUUAUUGAGUCUGUUCGACUUUUAAAAUUUUACA